GAAUGCCCAGUAUUGUUGCUCCCUUUUCUACAAAGCUAGGCCCGUGGAGAGAGUCUGCUCAUUGGCCGAGAGGAGGGAAGGAGAAGACUAGGCAAUAGAGGAGUCACUGGGGUCUCCCGGGAAUGGUUAAUAUUUGAAGCAUAUAAGGGUGAUGGAGUUUCUUUUUGAGGACUGCGGUGCGCCUCUGUGUGUUUGUUCCGUGGCUAAUGAGUAAUACUGGCAGCAGGCAGGCAGCUAGCUUAGUGGUCGUAGUAAACGGGAGCUAUGUUACGUCCACAGCGUUUAGGAGCGCCUGGUGAGGAGAGCUGAAGUACAUAGUGGUGGACUAUUUUUGUGAGUUAUUUAUCUAUUGAGAGUUGACUUAAAAUCAAUUCAAUGGAUUUAGCAAAUUGUUAAAUAUGAUAUGAAGUAAGCCUAUGUGAGCAUGAACUUUUCGGUUUGAAAUUAUUUGACAGUAUCUGCAUGUUUGUUGUAUGUUUCUGGUUGAAGAAGACCGAUUGCAAGUUUGUUACGUCCAGUAAUUUACCAUAUGUUACCUUAUGUGGUAUGUCUUGCGCUUUUGGUGAUUUUUCUAUGCAUGAUGACAGACCAGGGUAAUGGAAGACUUUAAAGUUAAUAUUCCUUGUGGUUCAGAGACAAGCAACUCUUAUUGGACAGGGGAAUGUGCCACUCCCUUGGCUUCCUAAAAAUGUAUUGGCAAAAUUAUAUAUCAAAGUAAUGGCUUCCCAUAUGACCUAAUUCAAUUUUACAAUUUCUUAUCGGCCAGGUCAGGAGAUGCCAAAUAUCAUGCCAAUGGCUUGAAUUGUGACCAAAAUUCCCGCUUUUCUCUCCAGUCACUCAUUGUAGUGUGUAAUGUCUAGGUCACAGGGUCUGAUCAUUUGAAAGGCUAGAAUGGCUGCAACUGAAAACAUCUUGGAGCUGUGGUUGUGGAUUCUAGGCAUUUUCCCUCAGGCCUCACCCCAUGGCAGUUGAAACCAGGGCCAUGUUUGAUGAGCAUCCUGAAAAACCUCCUCACUCUAAAACGGAUAUUGUGUAGUGUUUGUUUACAUGAAUGGAAGCAAAGUCAGGUUUAUUUAUCUAUGUUGAUGGCUUUAGUGGAAAACCUGCUAUGGUUCAAUGAUGAGGCUUGAGGAUGUAACCUAAGCACCCGUUUCCAAGCCUUGUGACUGCAGUUGCUUAGUCUCUCUCAUCUGGAGGUUUGUAGGCUGGUUGAAGUGGGAGAGGAGAUCUCGUUAUGCCAUGUUAUUGUUUGAAAAUGACCAUUGUAAAUGCUAGGUCUAGACCGUGUUUUGUGAUAAGAUUUAAAAUGUAGCUCUUAUGUCCUGUUUCUGUUACGUUUUCAUCAGGACAGACCUUUCCUAGACAGAUAUUUGGGUCUGACAAAGAACAGAGUUUGGAAUCCCAGUAGUCUCAUGGAACACGGAAUGACGGCGGCUAUAUCGACUCAACCAAUCAGAGCCUGGCUCUCAUGGACCCUUGGCCAAGAACAUGUGUGUAAUGUGCUGCUCGGCCACCUCCAUACACGAUUGACAUGCUCAGACACAUGAGACUUCUUCCAGAUGAGGUUCAAGAUGGAGACUCCGACAUCAUUGGAGGACAAGAGAAAAGGAGAAGACUGUGUUGGCAUUUGGCUUUACCAACGUCAGCGAAUCAAUACUUUUAUACCGGAGUCGUUCUUGAAUUGCGGUGGCAUUUGGGCAUGGCAUACAAAAAAAAACACAUUAUUUAUAGAUUUGUAUUUAACAUUGUGCCACCAGUGGGAAUGGUAACACCAAUGAGACUUUUGGUUGUUGAGAAUUUUCUUAAAUGGAGGCCACACAUGCUCAAAUCUAAGGUCAUUAACCCAGAAAAUAAUUUACUAAAUAAAAUUAAAUAAAAAAUCUAA
Molecule: long non-coding RNA, 1885 nt
Organism: Coregonus clupeaformis (lake whitefish)
Lineage: Eukaryota; Metazoa; Chordata; Actinopteri; Salmoniformes; Salmonidae
Exons: 3
Source: RefSeq, a predicted model, not a curated record